RNAcentral lists this transfer RNA (94 nucleotides) under Bacteroidales bacterium Barb6XT. RNAcentral describes it as "tRNA-Ser". Lineage: Bacteria; Pseudomonadati; Bacteroidota; Bacteroidia; Bacteroidales. The record is from RNAcentral.
UCGUUCCGUGUGACCCGGAACGGUCGUUCCGUAUGACCCGGAACGGUCGUUCCGUAUGACCCGGAACGGUCGUUCCGUAUGACCCGGAACGGUC